GUCGUAACAAGGUAGCCGUAGGGGAACCUGUGUCUAGAUUGAGUCC
RNAcentral lists this ribosomal RNA (46 nucleotides) under Cycas revoluta. Its description in RNAcentral is "partial 18S ribosomal RNA". The record is from RNAcentral. Lineage: Eukaryota; Viridiplantae; Streptophyta; Cycadopsida; Cycadales; Cycadaceae.